ACUCCUACGGGAGGCAGCAGUAGGGAAUCUUCCACAAUGGGCGCAAGCCUGAUGGAGCAACACCGCGUGAGUGAAGAAGGGUUUCGGCUCGUAAAGCUCUGUUGUUAAAGAAGAACACGUAUGAGAGUAACUGUUCAUACGUUGACGGUAUUUAACCAGAAAGUCACGGCUAACUACGUGCCAGCAGCCGCGGUAAUACGGAGGGGUGCGAGCGUUAAUCGGAAUUACUGGGCGUAAAGCGCAUGCAGGUGGUUUUGUUAAGUCAGAUGUGAAAGCCCGGGGGCUCAACCUCGGAAUAGCAUUUGAAACUGGCAGACUAGAGUACUGUAGAGGGGGUAGAAUUUCAGGUGUAGCGGUGAAAUGCGUAGAGAUCUGAAGGAAUACCGGUGGCGAAGGCGGCCCCCUGGACAGAUACUGACACUCAGAUGCGAAAGCGUGGGGAGCAAACAGGAUUAGAUACCCUGGUAGGAUAGCG
This 475-nucleotide ribosomal RNA is filed under the name uncultured bacterium. RNAcentral describes it as "bacterial SSU rRNA". It matches the Rfam family "Bacterial small subunit ribosomal RNA", at positions 335 to 799 of the family's 1533-position model. The record is from RNAcentral.